AGAGUUUGAUCAUGGCUCAGGACGAACGCUGGCGGCGUGCCUAAUACAUGCAAGUCGAGCGGACCGACGGGAGCUUGCUCCCUUAGGUCAGCGGCGGACGGGUGAGUAACACGUGGGUAACCUGCCUGUAAGACUGGGAUAACUCCGGGAAACCGGGGCUAAUACCGGAUGCUUGAUUGAGCCGCAUGGUUCAAUUAUAAAAGGUGGCUUUCAGCUACCACUUACAGAUGGACCCGCGGCGCAUUAGCUAGUUGGUGAGGUAACGGCUCACCAAGGCGACGAUGCGUAGCCGACCUGAGAGGGUGAUCGGCCACACUGGGACUGAGACACGGCCCAGACUCCUACGGGAGGCAGCAGCAGGGAAUCUUCCGCAAUGGACGAAAGUCUGACGGAGCAACGCCGCGUGAGUGAUGAAGGUUUUCGGAUCGUAAAACUCUGUUGUUAGGGAAGAACAAGUACCGUUCGAAUAGGGCGGUACCUUGACGGUACCUAACCAGAAAGCCACGGCUAACUACGUGCCAGCAGCCGCGGUAAUACGUAGGUGGCAAGCGUUGUCCGGAAUUAUUGGGCGUAAAGCGCGCGCAGGCGGUUUCUUAAGUCUGAUGUGAAAGCCCCCGGCUCAACCGGGGAGGGUCAUUGGAAACUGGGGAACUUGAGUGCAGAAGAGGAGAGCGGAAUUCCACGUGUAGCGGUGAAAUGCGUAGGGAUGUGGAGGAACACCAGUGGCGAAGGCGACUCUCUGGUCUGUAACUGACGCUGAGGCGCGAAAGCGUGGGGAGCGAACAGGAUUAGAUACCCUGGUAGUCCACGCCGUAAACGAUGAGUGCUAAGUGUUAGAGGGUUUCCGCCCUUUAGUGCUGCAGCAAACGCAUUAAGCACUCCGCCUGGGGAGUACGGUCGCAAGACUGAAACUCAAAGGAAUUGACGGGGGCCCGCACAAGCGGUGGAGCAUGUGGUUUAAUUCGAAGCAACGCGAAGAACCUUACCAGGUCUUGACAUCCUCUGACAACCCUAGAGAUAGGGCUUCCCCUUAGGGGGCAGAGUGACAGGUGGUGCAUGGUUGUCGUCAGCUCGUGUCGUGAGAUUUGUA
RNAcentral lists this ribosomal RNA (1090 nucleotides) under Sphingobacterium spiritivorum. RNAcentral's name for it is "bacterial SSU rRNA". It matches the Rfam family "Bacterial small subunit ribosomal RNA", at positions 8 to 1078 of the family's 1533-position model. Lineage: Bacteria; Pseudomonadati; Bacteroidota; Sphingobacteriia; Sphingobacteriales; Sphingobacteriaceae. The record is from RNAcentral.